CCUACGGGGGGCUGCAGUGGGGAAUAUUGGACAAUGGGCGAAAGCCUGAUCCAGCCAUGCCGCGUGUGUGAAGAAGGCCUUCGGGUUGUAAAGCACUUUCAGUGGGGAAGAAAGCCUUGGGGCUAAUACCCUCGAGGAAGGACAUCACCCACAGAAGAAGCACCGGCUAACUCCGUGCCAGCAGCCGCGGUAAUACGGAGGGUGCGAGCGUUAAUCGGAAUUACUGGGCGUAAAGCGCGCGUAGGCGGUCUGAUAAGCCGGGUGUGAAAGCCCCGGGCUCAACCUGGGAACGGCAUCCGGAACUGUCAGGCUAGAGUGCAGGAGAGGAAGGUAGAAUUCCCGGUGUAGCGGUGAAAUGCGUAGAGAUCGGGAGGAAUACCAGUGGCGAAGGCGGUCUUCUGGACUGACACUGACGCUGAGGUGCGAAAGCGUGGGUAGCAAACAGGAUUAGAUACCCCGGUAGUC
This 465-nucleotide ribosomal RNA is filed under the name Vreelandella stevensii. RNAcentral describes it as "partial 16S ribosomal RNA". It matches the Rfam family "Bacterial small subunit ribosomal RNA", at positions 338 to 795 of the family's 1533-position model. The record is from RNAcentral. Lineage: Bacteria; Pseudomonadati; Pseudomonadota; Gammaproteobacteria; Oceanospirillales; Halomonadaceae.